RNAcentral lists this ribosomal RNA (691 nucleotides) under Salipaludibacillus sp. Its description in RNAcentral is "bacterial SSU rRNA". It matches the Rfam family "Bacterial small subunit ribosomal RNA", at positions 28 to 683 of the family's 1533-position model. The record is from RNAcentral. Lineage: Bacteria; Bacillati; Bacillota; Bacilli; Caryophanales; Bacillaceae.
GACGAACGCUGGCGGCGUGCCUAAUACAUGCAAGUCGAGCGCAGGAAGCAAGCGGAUCCCUUCGGGGUGAAGCUUGUGGAAUGAGCGGCGGACGGGUGAGUAUCACGUGGGCAACCUGCCUUGCAGACUGGGAUAACUCCGGGAAACCGGGGCUAAUACCGGAUGACCAUUUGGAUCGCAUGAUCCGGAUGUAAAAGUGGGGAAUUUAUUCCUCACACUGCGAGAUGGGCCCGCGGCGCAUUAGCUAGUUGGUAAGGUAAUGGCUUACCAAGGCAACGAUGCGUAGCCGACCUGAGAGGGUGAUCGGCCACACUGGAACUGAGACACGGUCCAGACUCCUACGGGAGGCAGCAGUAGGGAAUCAUCCGCAAUGGGCGAAAGCCUGACGGUGCAACGCCGCGUGAACGAUGAAGGUUUUCGGAUCGUAAAGUUCUGUUAUGAGGGAAGAACAAGUGCCGGUCAAAUAGGCCGGCACCUUGACGGUACCUCACGAGAAAGCCCCGGCUAACUACGUGCCAGCAGCCGCGGUAAUACGUAGGGGGCAAGCGUUGUCCGGAAUUAUUGGGCGUAAAGCGCGMGCAGGCGGUCUCUUAAGUCUGAUGUGAAAGCCCACGGCUCAACCGUGGAGGGUCAUUGGAAACUGGGAGACUUGAGWGUAGGAGAGGAAAGUGGAAUUCCACGUGUAGCGGUG